Triticum aestivum (bread wheat) is the source of this 2639-nucleotide RNA transcript. RefSeq lists it as uncharacterized. The transcript is spliced from 3 exons. The record is from RefSeq and is a predicted model, not a curated record. NCBI's taxonomy places the organism in Eukaryota, Viridiplantae, Streptophyta, Magnoliopsida, Poales, Poaceae.
AAUAGCAUCCCGCAUCAGCCGUGAGGAGCGUGAGAUGAGUAGCCCCCGCCGCCACCCCUGCCCGGCGGCGGCGCCCCUGGAUGACGACGACCUGCUCUCCGAGAUCCUCCUCCGCCUACCCCCACUGCCAUCCUCCCUCCCCCGCGCCUCUCUCGUCUGCCGGCGCUGGCGCCUCCUCGUCUCCGACCCUCGCUUCGCCCGCCGCUUCCGCAUCCACCACCGCCGCAACCCUCCCCUCCUCGGCUUCCUUCACACAGGCUUUGACACAGCCUUUCGCGAGAUCUCCUUCGUGCCUACUCUGGAGCCCCCCAAUCGUGUCCCGUCGGGCACUUCUCUUUGAUGUUCGACGGCAGCAGCGGCGGCGGCCCCUUGGCGCUCCUUGGAUGCCGCCAUGGCCUGGUACUCGUCUACCACGCGUCUUGGAAACAGAUCCUGGUGUGGGAUCCUGUCACCGCCGACCAGCACCGGAUUGCCGUCCCCCCAGGGUUUGCGAGAGAUGAUGAGGGGCACACCCUGCUCAGUGGAGCGGUGCUUCGUACCGCCGGAGAUGCCCAACAUUUUCGUGUAGCCUUGACAGUGGUGGACGACGAGGACAAACAACACAGACGAGCUCUCGCAUGUGUGUACUCGUCAGAGACUGGAGUAUGGGGAUGUCGUCUCGACGCCGCUUCCAUGCGAGGCUUCUGCGGGCAGGAUGCUUAUUACAGAUAAGCCCGCUGUGCUGGUUCAGAAUUCUCUUUACUGGCUGCCUACUGGGAAUUUGGAUGUAUUUCUGGAGUUUGAUUUGGAGAGGCAGAUCCUAGCUGUGAUAUGGAUGCCAGUGGAUUUGGUUGCCAAGGGCUGUUACGAUAUCUGCGUGACGUGUGCAGAGGAUGGUGGUCUUGGUUUCUUCUGUGUGCUGCAGUUGGACUACAUUGCCCAAUUAUGGAAGAGGAAGACUGAUUAUCAUGGUGUUGCUUCAUGGGUGCUAGGAAGAACUAUUGAACUGGACAACCUAAUUCCCUCGAAUUUAGCGGGUAAAUUGCCCAUUGUGGUCCUGGGGUUUGCUGAGGACAAUAAUGGGGUGUGCCUGUGGAUAGGUGGCGUCUUCGCUAUAGUCCAUCUUGAGUCAUUGCAGUUCAAGGAACUCUUUAAAUCCAACCGCCUUUUUCAUUGUCACCCAUUCGAAAGUGUCUACACUGCAGAAGCAGACAUUGGUGGUGGACAUGAUGGGGCUGAUCUUUUGCAGAAUACAUAAGUCUGGAUAGAUAUGCUGUUGUGAUGUACUGGUUAAGCAGAUCUGGACUGGGCGGCCCCGGAUCCGCUCCCAAACGCAGCCGGAGAGCCACGCCGCACCGGAUCUCGCGGCACCGACACAAGGAACCCCGCCACCAGCACGUGUGCGCCGAUGCAAGGAGCCCUGCCGCUGCCAUCCCUGGGGCACGCGCGGCGUCACCGGCGUCCUCUCCAGUAGUGGCGAAGCAAAGGAGGGGGUGGGAUAGGGCCCGGUGGCAGCGCGAGUAGGGUUGCCCCCGGGUCUCCAGAGGAGGCGGCGACGCGGGGGGGGGGGGGCAUUUUUGUGAUUUUUAUGUUGUUUCCUUUAUGCAAGUAGUUUAUAACUGACAAUACAUACUUUAUUUAAAUGGGCUUAUGACUGCCAUUUCACAUUGCUCCUUUUUUUGGACCAUUAUGGUGCCUAGUGAACUAAUAAUUGCCAAUAUACUUGUAGAACAUGCUUUCUUUAAACUUUAUAUUACCGAUUAGUAUCUUUUUGCUUACAGCUAUUGCAGUUUUAUUUGAUGAUUAUUUUUGUGUUAGUCGUUUUGCUUAAAUGAUCAGCAUCUCUCACCAUCUAUCUAGUUUGCAAAUGUAAUAGGCCACUAUCCACUAACAUAUCUUGUCUGGUCCAAGGUAUAUGUAGCUAUGCUCCGUGGGCAGUGUAUGUUCUCCACUUUCUAUGACGUUAGAUGUUUAACACUUUAUAUUGAACACAUGAUCAAAAUGGCAUGACUAGAUUCUACCAUAAAUAUUGCUUUUCUCAUGAAUUGCAUUUUUAGCAGCAUGUUUAAAUAUUAGAGAUGGUAUAGAAAUAGUCAAAUCGUGGAGUGUAAAAAAAGAUGGCAUCUAUUUUGGGCCGAAGAAGGCGUGUCUAUUAGUAGGAUGAUGCAGGUCCCCUUACUUGAGGCUUACUGCAUAAGUUUAAUUAAAUUUGAUUUGUUAGCGACUGGCUAGCUCAUAUAUAUUUCGGAGAAGUAUGUCUAUAAGCUAGAGACGAAACGGUUCUGCUUUUCCUCUCCACCAACCCCUCAUAUGCCAUUAUAACAAGGUAUAUUUCAAAUGAUUCGAUAAGCUAGGAUGUCCAGUAUUUCCUCUAAUGGGGUUAUUUGAACCACUAAUCUGUAAGCCUUUAUUGAGACCAGAAUGCCAGAUGUAGCCAAAAACUUGAGAAUACGCGAACAAUAAGAAUUGAAGGCGUAGCAGUUAAUUUUUUUUAACUGUUCUCCUGUAGCUGCUCUCUAUUUGUAAUGCUGGUUCUGUCCAAUAAUGCUGAGAUGAUUCAGUUUCUGAACUUUUGGCACAAUUUCCUCAAUAGUACUUAGCGGCUUUUCCAUGAAUAAAUUGUACAAAUUGGUUUGACUGAUGAAAUUGGUUGCCCCGCG